Molecule: RNA transcript, 7876 nt
Organism: Myotis lucifugus (little brown bat)
Lineage: Eukaryota; Metazoa; Chordata; Mammalia; Chiroptera; Vespertilionidae
Gene name: GON-4-like protein
Exons: 35
Source: RefSeq, a predicted model, not a curated record
GGCGCGCACGUAAGUUGCUGCCGCCGGCUGACUUCCGGUGGCCCCGACUCCGAGUUUCCGCGGGAUCAGUCGCUGGUGGGGGGACCGUGUCCCGUGCCGUGAGGCGGGAAGUGGCGAGUGGGAGCUGCACGUCCGGGCGCGGGAUGUCCAGGCUGCGGGGGUCGGGUUUGAGGGCUGGCGCGGGGUGUGGGACAGAAGGUAGAGGUCCGAGGGGGUCUAGCCGGGCGCGGGGACUUGGGCCAGUGCUCGGCCCCUGGUAAAAAGCGCAGUCAGGCCCCCCUUUUGGAAAAUAUCCCCAGGAGGGGCUCGCGCGGGGGCUACCUUCGGAUUUGCAUUCGUUCACCCUGUUGGUCCCACUCCAGUUCCUAAAAGACGGAAAAUAAAAUAAAAAAGAACUUCAUUUUGCAGUCCUGUAGUCCAAACAUUCAUCUAGUGCCCUGGUGGAUGGGCAUUCAGACUUGAACAUUAUCAGUGAUGAAGAACUCACUGUAACACAAGGAUGGAACGAAAGUAGGACUUUUAAAAUGUUGCCCAGCAAGAAGAGAAGAACUUCAGAGACUGAGUUCCCACAGCAUCAGGGCAACCUGGAGGAAGAGGACUUAGACCUAGAGUCAGCUGUUCAACCAGAAUCUGACCAGGUUAAAGACUUGGGGUCAGUGUCACUGGCCUGGGGUCGAAGUCAUGGUAGUGCAGCUGGUCUGGAAGUUGAAUCUGUGCAGGAUGCAGGAAAUCAGCUUGGUGUGGAAGAUCCAUCUUUGAGUUCCAGGGUACUCACCCAGGACACAAAUGCAGCAGUUCUAGAAGCUGUUAAUGUGGCCAUCUCAACGGGAAUCGCCCUACCUUCCUUGGAGUCUUCCCAGCCCCUUAACAUACACAUUGAUAAAGAAAAACUCCUUGCCAUUGGUUCAAAGAGAGGGAAGAAAAUGACACUCAGGCCCAAGCCAGACGAAGGUGAUCAUCUUAUCACAAAGGAGCCUUUUUCAGGAGAGCCUAGUGAAGAAGUCAAGGAAGAGGGAGGAAAACCUCAGAUGCAUUCUGGAGAAGAGAUGCCUUUAUUGCCAUCAGGCAGCCACUCUGUAAAACUAGGAGCCCAGCCUAGGAAAUCAUCUCAGCCAGAUGCCUGUGCCUCUCCUCAAGGAAAGCCAUUCAGGACUUCAGAUCACCAAGCUGAGGAAGAGAUAGAGGAUGAUGGACUCUUUAUUCCAAUGGAAGAGCAAGACAGUGAAGAAAGUGAGAAAAGGCAGAAAAAGAAAAAGGGUACCAAGAGGAAACGAGAUGGAAGGGGUCAAGAAGAAGGGACUUUGGCUUAUGACCCAAAACUGGAUGAUAGGCUGGACCGUACCUUAGAGGAUGGCGCCAAGCAGCACAACCUGACAGCAGUCAAUGUGCGAAACAUCCUUCACGAAGUAAUCACAAAUGAACAUGUGGUAGCGAUGAUGAAAGCAGCCAUCAGUGAGACUGAAGAUAUGCCAAUGUUUGAACCCAAAAUGACACGCUCUAAACUUAAGGAAGUGGUGGAGAAAGGAGUGGUAAUUCCAACAUGGAAUAUUUCACCAAUUAAGAAGGCCAAUGAGAUUAAGCCUCCUCAGUUUGUGGAUAUCAACCUCGAAGAAGAUGAUUCCUCAGAUGAAGAGUACCAGCCAGAUGAUGAAGAAGAAGAUGAGACUGCUGAAGAGGUCAGUGGUGACCCUAGUUUGUUGGAAAGUGAUGUUGAAAGCACUGCUUCAUCUCCACGUGGGGCAAAGAAAUCCAGACUGAGACAGUCUUCUGAGAUGAAUGAAACAGAUGAAGAGAAUGGCAUAUUAUCAGAGGCUGAGAAAAUUGCCACACCUGCCAUCAGGCACAUCAGUGCUGAGGUCGUACCCAUGGGGCCUCCACCCCCCCCAAAGCCCAAACAGACCAGAGAUAGUACUUUCAUGGAGAAGUUGCAUGCUGUGGAUGAGGAACUGGCAUCUAGUCCAGUCUGCAUGGAUUCUUUCCAGCCAAUGGAUGACAGUCUCAUUGCGUUCCGAACCCGCUCUAAGAGGCCUCUGAAAGAUGUUCCCCUGGGACAACUAGAGGCAGAGCUUCAAGCUCCAGACAUCACCCCAGACAUGUAUGACCCCAAUACAGCAGAUGAUGAGGAAUGGAAGCUGUGGCUUGGGGGACUCAUGAAUGACGAUGUGGGGAAUGAAGAUGAGGCGGAUGAUGAUGACGAUCCAGAAUAUAAUUUCCUGGAAGACCGUGACGAACCAGACACAGAGGAUUUCCGCACCGACCGGGCAGUGAGAAUCACCAAAAAGGAAGUGAAUGGAUUGAUGGAAGAACUGUUUGAAACUGGUAAUAGUGGAGUCAUCCCAUGUGCAGGACUGUGGAAGUCCUCAAGUGAGAAAAAUACUCUGAUGCAAGCUCUUUCUGAGUGCCAGCAUUAUCCUUUCCAAGAUGAGAUGGGAUUCCCCAGCAUGGAAGAUGAUGGCCCGGAGGAGGAGGAGCGUGUGGCUGAGCCUCGACCUAACUUUAAUACUCCUCAAGCCCUACGGUUUGAGGAACCACUGGCCAACUUGCUAAAUGAGCAGCAUCGUACAAUGAAGGAGCUCCUUGAGCAGCUGAAGUUGAGGAAAGCUUCAGCCAAACAGCAGCAGGAAGUAGAAAAGGUUAAGCCCCAGACCGAGAAAGUUCCUCAGACUCUGAUUCUAGACCCAGCCCAGAGGAAGAGACUCCAGCAGCAGAUGCAGCAGCAUGUUCAGCUCUUGACGCAAAUUCACCUUCUCUCCACCUCCAACCCCAAUCUCAACUCGGAGGCCAGUACUACCAGGAUAUUUCUUGAAGAGCUGGGAACCUUUGCUCAAAGCUCCAUCGCUCUUCACCAUCAGUUCAACCCUAAGUUUCAGACCUUGUUCCAACCCUGUAACCUGACUGGAGCCAUGAAGCUCAUUGAAGAUUUCAACACACAUGUCAGCAUUGAUUGGAGUCCUCGCAAAACUGUCAAGACGGCCUGUAAAUUUCCCUGUUUACCAAAGCAAGUGGCUUGGAUCCUGGCCACAAGCAAGGUUUUCAUGUAUCCAGAGCUACUUCCAGUGUGUUCCCUGAAGGCAAAGAAUCCCCAGGAUAAGAAUUCAUUCACCAAGGCUGAGGACAAUUUGUUAGUUUUAGGACUAAAGCACUUUGAAGGGACUGAGUUUCCUAAGCCUCUAAUCAGCAAGUACCUUCUAACUUGCAAAACUGCCCACCAACUGACAGUGAGAAUCAAGAACCGCAGCAUGAACAGAGCUCCUGACAAUAUUUUCAAAUUUUACAAGAAGACCAAACAGCUGCCCGUCUUCGGGAAGUGCUGUGAAGAGAUCCAGCCACAUCAGUGGAAGCCACCUGUAGAGAGGGAAGAACACCGGCUUCCAUUCUGGUUAAAGGCCAGUCUGCCAUCCAUCCAGGAGGAAAUGCAGCACAUAGCUGAUGGUGCCAGAGAGGCAGGAAAUGUGACUGGCACCACUGAGAUCAAGCCGGACCCAGAUGUAGGAAAAACCAGCUUGGAAUUGGAGAGUGAGACUCGGUACCCGCUGCUCCUGCCUAAGGGCGUGGUCCUGAAACUGAAGCCGGUUGCCAACUGUUUUUCCAGGAAGGGCUGGAGACAGAAGCGGUCAUCAACCUUGAAGCCCCUCCUUAUCAGACCCAGCCCCUCUCUCCAGCCUACCUUCAAUUCUGGGAAAAUACCGCCUAGGUCAACUCAGUCAGAAGCCCCUCCAAGCAAAAUGGUGGUCCGGAUUCCUCAAACGAUCCAGCCAGCCACCGUCUUACAGACGGUGCCAGCUGUCCCUCAACUGAGGGUCACUGGAGGUGAUAGUUUUGAGUCCUCAACAGUAUUGCCUACUAUACCACCCGAGGCCAGGACCAGCUUCCCUCUGUCCGAGCCCCAGACCUUGUUCUCCUCUGCUCCUGUGCCCAAGAUAAUGCUGCCCUCACUUGCCCCUUCUAAGUUCCGAAAGCCAUAUGUGAAACGGAGAGGCCCAAAGAAAAAGGGGACCAAGGCCUCUCUCUGUCUGAAGUCUGUCCCCCUCAUCAACUCUGCACCUGUUAUCUUCACUGUUCCUGCCGCCACUGUGAAGGUUGUGAGCCUUGGCAGUGGCUGCAACAUGAUUCAGCCUGUCAAUGCGACUGUGGCCCCGAGCUCUCAGGCCCUUCCCAUCACCACACUCCUGGUUAACCCUACUUCCUUCCCGUGUCCAUUGAACCAGCCCCUUGUAGCCUCCUCCAUCCCACCCUUAAUUGUUUCUGGCAACUCUGUGAAUCUUCCUGUACAGUCCGCCUCUGAAGAGAAGGCCCAAGUGAGUAUGGAUGUUGGUUGUCCUUUGGAUGAAGGGAAAAAUGCCUUUCCAGGCCUGGUACCCAAAUUAGAACCCCAGGACCUAUCUCCUCUCUGUGCCCCUGUCUUCCCCAAAAAGGAGCACAGCCCAGGACCUCUACCAUCAGACGGAGUGUGCCCGGAAGACUUGUCAGAAAACAGUGCCUAUAUCUGGACUGUUGUGAAAACAGAGGAGGGGAGGCAAGUUGUGGAACCACUGCCUCAGGGCUUCCAAGAAUCUCUAAGCUCUCCUCCUGAAAAUGCAGAGAAAAUUGUCAAGAUGGAACCUAACGAUCCUGGGGAGGAAGUCCCCCGGGCAUCCCCGAAGCACACCAUUUAUGAUGACGUCAAAGAAGAGUACUCUGUGGAAUUGGACACUGGCUUCCCAAGUGAGGAGUCAAGUGGUGGAAGAGAAGCAAAGAAACAGACAGUCUUACAGAAGGAGGAGGAGAGGAACCAACUAGCGAAAACCCCGUCAGCUUCUCAAGAGCCUCCUGAUGGAGGAAACUCAGGAAAUGUGAGCAAAGAAUCGCCAAAGAAUGCUUCAUCCUCCGUUGACCCUGACACGGUGCCGAGCAGCCUCCCCGGGAAACCGGAAGACGUACUCAGCAUCGAUGGUCAGUUAGCAGGGACCCCAGCGAGGCCAGAAACGGGAGGAGAGAAGGAUGGGCCCGAGGAAGAGGAGGAAGAGGACUUCGAUGACCUCACCCAGGACGAGGAAGAUGAGAUGUCCUCGGCUUCUGAGGAGUCUGUGCUGUCUGUCCCAGAGCUCCAGGAAACAAUGGAGAAACUGACCUGGCUCGCAUCUGAAAGGCGCAUGAGUCAGGAGGGUGAGUCUGAGGAAGAGAACUCUCAGGAAGAGAACUCUGAGCCUGAAGAAGAGGAGGAGGAAGAAGCAGAAGCAGAAGGAAUGGAAAGCCUGCAGAAAGAGGAUGGAAUGACAGAUGAAGCCAUAGGAGACCUUGCUGAGAAACCUCCCACUACCUUCGCCUCACCCCAAACUGCUCCAGAAGAGACCAGCAGGACCCCAGCAGGAGAGAGCAUCAAAGCUUCUGGAAAGGGCCGGAGCAAUCAUCGAGCUCGGAAUAAGAGGGGCAGUCGGGCCCGAGCCAGCAAGGACACCUCCAAACUGCUGCUGCUGUAUGAUGAGAACAUUCUCGAGCGGGAUCCACUCAGAGAGCAGAAGGAUUUGGCCUUUGCUCAGGCUUAUCUGACUAGGGUACGAGAAGCCCUGCAACAUAUCCCUGGCAGGUAUGAGGACUUCCUUCAGGUUAUCUAUGAAUUUGAGUCAAGUACUCAGAGGCAGACGGCUGUGGAUCUCUACAAAAGCCUGAAAAUUCUUCUCCAAGACUGGCCUCAGCUGUUGAAGGACUUUGCUGCUUUCCUGUUGCCCGAGCAAGCUCUGGCCUGUGGAUUAUUUGAGGAGCAGCAGGCUUUUGAGAAGAGUCGCAAGUUUCUCCGGCAGCUUGAAAUUUGCUUUGCGGAAAACCCCUCACAUCACCAGAAGAUUAUCAAGGUCCUCCAAAGUUGUGCAGACUGCCUGCCCCAGGAGAUUACUGAGCUCAAGACACAGAUGUGGCAUCUCCUCAAGGGCCACGACCACCUGCAGGAUGAGUUCUCCAUCUUCUUUGACCAUCUGCGCCCAGCAGCUAGCCGGAUGGGUGACUUUGAAGAGAUCAAUUGGACUGAAGAGAAGGAAUAUGAGUUUGAUGGCUUUGAAGAAGUGGCACUGCCUGAUGUGGAAGAGGAAGAGGAACCUCCCAAGAUACCCACAGCCCCAAAGAACAAAAGAAGAAAGGAGAUUGGGGUACAGAAUCAUGACAAGGAGACUGAGUGGCCAGAUGGCGCCAAGGACUGUGCCUGUGCAUGCCAUGAAGGAGGUCCUGAUUCCAAACUGAAGAAGAGCAAAAGGAGAAACUGCAGCCACUGCAGCAGCAAGGUCUAUGACAGCAAAUCCUACAAGAGCAAGGAGCCCCAUGAGUUGGUGGGUGGCAGCCCCCACCGAGAGGCCAGUCCUAUGCCUGGUGCUAAGGAAGCUGGGCAGGGCAAGGAUGUGAUGGAGGAGGAAGCCCCAGAGGAACGAGAAACCACUGAGGCAACCCAGAGCAGGACUGGCAGGAGUACCCGAAAGGGAGAGAUGCCCAUUUCAGGAUUGGCAGUGGGGAGCACUUUGCUGUCCCCUCAAGAAGUGAUUCUUACAGAACGGCAGCUCCUCCUGGAUGGCCCACCGCCCAGCUCACCAGAGACUCCUCAGCUUCCCUCCAACACUGGAGUUGUUCUAGACACCAGGACAGACCAGGUCAAACCGGAGGCUUCCUGCUGCACGGAGCUCCCCAGGCUUCAGGAUGAGGGGGAGGGCCAUCAGGCAGCAGGUGACGCAGAGUCUUCCACGCCGGUCUGCGAUGCUUCAGAAACUCAGUGUCCUGGAACUCUGGAGCCCCCUGCUUCUUUCCCGAGUCCUGUUUCCUCCAGGACCAGAGACUUGGGGAGAGGACAGGUGUCUGGGAAACCAGAUACUCAAGAGAGCUGGCUGCCUUCCAGCAGAACUGGUAUGAAGACAUCAGACAGGAAGUCCUCAGUCCUUGAAUCUUCAUCAAGAAUUGACACCUCAGAGACUUCUCCCAAAACCCCUAAAGGAGGUUUGGCUAAAGACAGUGGAGUACAGGUCAGGGGUCCAGAAGGGGAGCAGCAGCCAAAGGCCACGGAAGUCACCGUAUGUGCGAACAACAGCAAGGUCAGCUCCACCGGGGAAAAGGUGGUCCUGUGGACACGGGAAGCUGACCGUGUGAUUCUCACCAUGUGCCAGGAACAAGGAGCACAGCCCCAGACUUUUCGAAUCAUCUCCCAGCAGCUAGGAAAUAAGACUCCUACUGAGGUAAGUGGGCGGGGGGAGUCCUCGACAGUUUCAAAUCCAGGAGAGGCAGGAAGAGGACAGGCUGGCCGACUAAGAGGAGGUUUCCCACCGUUUUCGAGAACUCAUGCAGCUCUUCCACACCGCCUGCGAGGCCAGCUCGGAGGAUGAAGACGAUGCAACCAGCACCAGCAAUGCAGACCAGCUCUCUGACCAUGGGGAUCUUCUGUCUGAGGAGGAGCUGGAUGAGUGAGACUCAGGAAGCAUGUGGGAGAUUCCAUAAGGCUGUCACCAUGCUGGUAGCACUGGGCCAGACUGCACAGCUCCUGCAGCAGCUCCCCUAGGUCAUCCAGUUCCACCCCAGCGUCCAUGAAGCUGGCCCAGCGCCGCAGGUUGAGUUUGGUGAGUUCCUUGGCCAAGUCUCCCAGGGUCCGGUUCAAGGAUGAAGAGGAGCAGAGGGCCCCGAGCACUGGGAUGCUCUCCCCUGCCGCAGAGGGAGAGAAAAGAGACCUGUAGUCAGAUGGUUCCUUCACCCUGAGUCUGCCGUAUCGAUAGGGAAGUCUGGGUCUUUAGUUGACUUGAUUAUAAAGUAAACUCAAUAAAUUUUGUGUACUGUCCCCUUAGUAUACCAGUACUCCAGAGGAAGAAAAGUCUUUGGGAACCAUCGAAUGAAUAAAGAAAUGUUGGACUGUGACUUUAAAGUAUCUUUA